GAUGAACGCUAGCUACAGGCUUAACACAUGCAAGUCGAGGGGCAUCAGGAAGAAAGCUUGCUUUCUUUGCUGGCGACCGGCGCACGGGUGAGUAACACGUAUCCAACCUGCCCUUUACUCGGGGAUAGCCUUUCGAAAGAAAGAUUAAUACCCGAUAGCAUAAUGAUUCCGCAUGGUUUCAUUAUUAAAGGAUUCCGGUAAAGGAUGGGGAUGCGUUCCAUUAGGUUGUUGGUGAGGUAACGGCCCACCAAGCCUUCGACGGAUAGGGGUUCUGAGAGGAAGGUCCCCCACAUUGGAACUGAGACACGGUCCAAACUCCUACGGGAGGCAGCAGUGAGGAAUAUUGGUCAAUGGGCGCUAGCCUGAACCAGCCAAGUAGCGUGAAGGAUGAAGGCUCUAUGGGUCGUAAACUUCUUUUAUAUAAGAAUAAAGUGCAGUAUGUAUACUGUUUUGUAUGUAUUAUAUGAAUAAGGAUCGGCUAACUCCGUGCCAGCAGCCGCGGUAAUACGGAGGAUCCGAGCGUUAUCCGGAUUUAUUGGGUUUAAAGGGAGCGUAGGUGGACUGGUAAGUCAGUUGUGAAAGUUUGCGGCUCAACCGUAAAAUUGCAGUUGAUACUGUCAGUCUUGAGUACAGUAGAGGUGGGCGGAAUUCGUGGUGUAGCGGUGAAAUGCUUAGAUAUCACGAAGAACUCCGAUUGCGAAGGCAGCUCACUGGACUGCAACUGACACUGAUGCUCGAAAGUGUGGGUAUCAAACAGGAUUAGAUACCCUGGUAGUCCACACAGUAAACGAUGAAUACUCGCUGUUUGCGAUAUACAGUAAGCGGCCAAGCGAAAGCAUUAAGUAUUCCACCUGGGGAGUACGCCGGCAACGGUGAAACUCAAAGGAAUUGACGGGGGCCCGCACAAGCGGAGGAACAUGUGGUUUAAUUCGAUGAUACGCGAGGAACCUUACCCGGGCUUAAAUUGCAGUGGAAUGAUGUGGAAACAUGUCAGUGAGCAAUCACCGCUGUGAAGGUGCUGCAUGGUUGUCGUCAGCUCGUGCCGUGAGGUGUCGGCUUAAGUGCCAUAACGAGCGCAACCCUUAUCUUCAGUUACUAACAGGUCAUGCUGAGGACUCUGGAGAGACUGCCGUCGUAAGAUGUGAGGAAGGUGGGGAUGACGUCAAAUCAGCACGGCCCUUACGUCCGGGGCUACACACGUGUUACAAUGGGGGGUACAGAAGGCAGCUAGCGGGUGACCGUAUGCUAAUCCCAAAAUCCUCUCUCAGUUCGGAUCGAAGUCUGCAACCCGACUUCGUGAAGCUGGAUUCGCUAGUAAUCGCGCAUCAGCCACGGCGCGGUGAAUACGUUCCCGGGCCU
Molecule: ribosomal RNA, 1359 nt
Filed under: uncultured bacterium
Lineage: Bacteria
Description: bacterial SSU rRNA
Rfam family: Bacterial small subunit ribosomal RNA
Source: RNAcentral